GACGAACGCUGGCGGCGUGCUUAACACAUGCAAGUCGAACGGUAAGGCCCUUCGGGGUACACGAGUGGCGAACGGGUGAGUAACACGUGGGUGAUCUGCCCUGCACUUCGGGAUAAGCCUGGGAAACUGGGUCUAAUACCGGAUAGGACCACUGCCUGCAUGGGUGGUGGUGGAAAGCUUUUGCGGUGUGGGAUGGGCCCGCGGCCUAUCAGCUUGUUGGUGGGGUGAUGGCCUACCAAGGCGACGACGGGUAGCCGGCCUGGGAGGGUGACCGGCCACACUGGGACUGGGAUACGGCCCAGCCUCCUACGGGAGGCAGCAGUGGGGAAUAUUGCACAAUGGGCGCAAGCCUGAUGCAGCGACGCCGCGUGAGGGAUGACGGCCUUCGGGUUGUAAACCUCUUUCAGCACCGACGAAGCGCAAGUGACGGUAGGUGCAGAAGAAGGACCGGCCAACUACGUGCCAGCCGCCGCCGUAA
RNAcentral lists this ribosomal RNA (478 nucleotides) under uncultured bacterium. RNAcentral describes it as "partial 16S ribosomal RNA". It matches the Rfam family "Bacterial small subunit ribosomal RNA", at positions 28 to 523 of the family's 1533-position model. The record is from RNAcentral.